Chelonia mydas (Green sea turtle) is the source of this 4334-nucleotide long non-coding RNA. RefSeq lists it as uncharacterized. Lineage: Eukaryota; Metazoa; Chordata; Testudines; Cheloniidae. The transcript has 3 exons. The record is from RefSeq and is a predicted model, not a curated record.
UUGUAGUGUGGGGCCCAAAACUGGACACAGUACUCCAGAUGAGGCCUCACCAAUGUGGAAUAGAGGGGAACGAUCAUGUCCCUCGAUCUGCUCACUAUGCCCCUACUUAUACAUCCCAAAAUGCCAGGAAUCACUUAACAGACAAAAGAGCUUGGAAGGCUCCAAUCCACAUAAGAAGUCUACCUGAGGAUGUUCAGGGUAGCACUUGGGUAAUGGCUGCUAGCUGCAAGUCCUGAGUCAUGCAUGGGCAUGUGACUUGCCCAUGUGAUUCCAAAUCUCCAUUUUGUGCCUGGGUUCUACACAAGGGGAGAGAGGGGUGUCCACCCAGAAGAGAAAGUCUAUUUAAACCCCGGGGAUACCCCUCCAUUUGGUCUUCAGCUGGCUUAAGUUAGAGCCUCUCCAGCCCAGGAUACCUGAAGGAAACUGGAACAAUGGACAGUGACUACAGGGGGGGUGCGAGUGAUAGCUGGACCCAGACUAAAAGAAGUUUAGUCUGAAAAAGGAGACUCACUGAAACAUCUGAGCGUGAGGACAGUAUUCAGUUUUUAUUUACUGUAUUAGAGAUAAAUCUUGGUGUUUUGUUUUAUUUUAUUUGGUAAUUCACUUUGUUCUGUCUGUUACUACUUGGAACCACUUAAAUCCUACUUUCUGUACUCAUUAAAAUCUCUUUUUACUUAUUAAUUAACCUGGAGUAUGUGUUAGUACCGGGGGCAGGGGAGGGGGGAACAGCUGUGCAUAUCUCUCUAUUAGUGUUACAGAGGGCGAACAAUCUAUGAGUUUGCCCUAUAUAAGCUUUCUACAGGGUAAAACAGUUUUAUUUCGGGUUUGGACCCCAUUGGGAGUUGGGCAUCUGAGUGCUAAAGACAGGAACACUUCCUAAGCUGCUUCCAGGAAAGCCUACAGCUGUUAGGGGACGUGGCUCAGACCUGGGUCUGGCUCGGAGCAGGCUAGCGGGUCUGGCUCAAACCAGGCAGGGUUCAGGUGUCCUAGGCUGGAAAGGGCAGGAAAGCAGGGGCAGGAGUAGUCUUGGCACAUCAGUUGGCAGCUCCUAAGGGGUUUUCUGUGAUCCAACCCCUCACAGUGGCGUAAUCGAGCAGGAUCUGUGCACAGCUGAUUGCUUUGAGAUACUGGUGGUGAUUUUAAGUGAAGUUUAAGUGUGGUGGCUGGAGAACAGAUGAAGUGGUUACUGGUUUGUUAUUUUCUGUUUGCUUAUUUCGGGUAAGGAAAAUAGGGACAGAAAAGGAAGCACAAUAAGUAAGAGUGAGGAUCAGAACAAGCUAGAACUGUACAGGUUGCAAAUUACCCAGAAAGGCUGAACACUGGGCGCUGCAAAAGUCUCUGUUAACUAAGAAGCCCCUGAGCUGAGUGCAUCCCAGUUUCAGUGAACUACAGAGGGAGUGUGGCCCAGUACAAGAAAGCAGGAAAAUGACUACCAGUGAAGCAGCUACUAAACUAGAGCUGGCUAGACUGGAAGCAGAAGAGUAAGAAAACGAACAUAAGAGACUUAUCAAAUUUAAAAACAUUAGAAAUUAAUGCAGCAGCAGACAGAGAAGAAGAUGCCCACAAGACAGCUAUGGAGGCAGAAAGAGCCAAAGAGGAGGCUUCCCUCAAGAGAGAGAUGGAGGCCUAGAAGUAUGAACUGGCUGUUAUGGAGUCGAGGAAACAAACCCCUCCAGCUGCUGGCUCCACUUCCCCAAAAAUCCACAGAUGGGCGCAACUAAGCCCCCAGUAUGAUGAAACCAGCGAUACUGCCAAAUAUUUCAUCACCUUUGAAAGACUGUGUGUACCCUCCAUGCAAUCCCUGAAGAUCGAAAGAUGACCACAUUGAUAGCAAAAUUGACUGGCAGCGCUCUGGACAUAUUCAGUAAGAUGCCUAUUGGUGAUGCUUCAAACUAUGAAACAGGACUAAGCCAUGACUGGACUGUCAGACUGGAGAAUGGGACCCGGCUCCCUUCACCUGGAACCCGGAUUUCUCCUCACUUCAGAGAAACUUGUUUGUGGUGGAACAAGGCUGGCCGUUUGGACUGCUGGACAGAACAAGCCUUCAGGCUGAAAAGCGAACAACCUUUCUCUCCAUUUCAGCAAAAAACAACAUUCAACAAACCCCCACAAAAACAGGCACCUGAAAAAGUCCUGCCCCCGAUUUCACCUUUCCAAGGUCUUCUACGCACACUCUCCCGCCCCGAGUGAGAAUCCUACACCUUGACCAACAAACCACAGUCAGACCCAAAUGCAGCUCUCCCUCUGCAGGAUGUUGGAGAAAAGCACAGGUGAAAAAAACCUCCAGAGUCAGCUGCAAAUGGAGCCUUGGCAAGGACUUGGUCGAAAUUUGAAGCCGGGAUCUCUUGCAUCCUAAAGGAGACUUACACCCUAGUCCAACAAAUCAUUUGGGAACUCUAAGAAAACCUGCAUUCCACAGGAGUUUCUAAAGACAAAUGACCAGCCACACACCCAGGCAGAAGAAGCCUGGGAAGGUACAACAGCAAACACACCCUGGGGGAGGCCUUGUCCGGGAGCUGCAGCCAGGCCCUCUGGCACCUGAAGUGAGACUCGGACCCUUACAGCAACAAGCCACAUUUGGCCAUUGCUGAAAUUGUUAGGCCUCAGAGUUUUGGGCCAGAAACCAACAGCCAAAUCUAGCUGUAAAACUGAACCACUUGGAAAUGACAGGUUUCAGAGUAGCAGCCGUGUUAGUCUGUAUUCGCAAAAAGAAAAGGAGUACUUGUAGAGACUAACCAAUUUAUUUGAGCAUAAGCUUUCGUGAGCUACAGUAUGCAUCCGAUGAAGUGAGCUGUAGCUCACGAAAGCUUAUGCUCAAAUAAACUGGUAAGUCUCUAAAGUGCCACAAGUCCUCCUUCACUUGGAAAUGGCACUUCAAGCGUGCCACAAUACCAUAGGCAACAGUCUGGGUGUGCGCUGUUGGCUGCCGAGAGGUAGAAUCCAGUGCCUGCGUCUUCACUUCCCACGGAGAGAUAUUUUGAGCCCCCAACAAUUAGGGGAAGAACAGGGAGAUGAAAAGCCAAAGAAAGUUUCAAGAGUUCUCCUUCCUGGCUGAGCUGGGUGCGCUGUCCAGGUCACGGAUGGUCAUUCUGGGGAGGGAUGUGGGUCUGGUCCAGUUUGGGGGGGUUGUUCUGGGGAAGGAUGUGGGUCUCAUAUAUUUGGAGGUUUGGCCCAGAGCCCAGUCUUGUGGGGGCACAGCUGGUAGUCCUGAUCCUAGUCUGUCUGCCUCUCUUCUGGCAGAGAAGGUCAAGCAGGUGAGUAUGAAUAAUGAUGCUGUAAAUAACAUGUAAUAAAGUCUUGGAUGUUUUUUCUUUUAAAAAUGUUUUAACGGUUUUCAAUCUGCCCCAAUUUCAUCAGGCCCCAGUAGUUCCUAUGAGAAAUGUGAAGGAUGAGCUAUUGUAACUGUUCCCUCUUAGUGGGAGCAACAGCUGGCUGGUGUUUUGGCUGCUCAGGCUUUUGUUAGCUGGUUUUACCCACUGUGUUUUCUUUUGCAUGUAUUCUUUCAUAAUGUAUUUGAUGUACCUGUGUGUAUUUGAUGUACCUGUGUUUUUCCCCUAAGGCACACAGCUGUACAGGUUUUAUCUACAAUCUUUACAAGUUGAAGUUGCAGAUGGAGGGGGCUCCCAGCAAUGGCAGCCUUGGGGGGGUGGCCGUGGCUAGAAGCUGGGGGACUGGAUCGGGACCCCCUACCACUUACUGGUCUCUCUGCCCUGCAGUUUUAGUCCCCCCAGAUUAGCCUGAUUAUCACAACAAAAGUUUUUUUUCUGCUGCUGCUAAUAGCCCACCUUAAUCAAUUGGUCUCGUUAAGAGUUGGUAUGGCAACCUCCAUUUUCUCGUGUUCUCAGAUUAUCCAAUCUUCCUACUGUAUUUUCCACUGCAUGCAUCUGAUGAAGUGGGCUUUAACCCAUGAAAGCUUAUGCUCAAAUAAAUUUGUUAGUCUCUAAGGUGCCACAAGUCCUCCUCACUAGCUUUUCCUGACUGAUUGUGCUGGGGGCUCUGUCUGGCUCCAGCGCUCUGGUCCCUCAGCUACCAGUGCCACCUGGGAACCCUGAUCAAUUCCAGCUUUAAGGAGUGCUGAGAUCCAUCUCUCUCUUUCUCUGGCUCUCUCUAGGUAUAGCCUCCUGACCCUGCCUUAUGUGAUCAGUUGUAGUUUGCUAGCCCUAACUUUUGUAAUCAAAUUUAAGUUAGAUUUAAUCUUGGAACGGUUUUGUUUGUUUGGCUCCCCUUGUAAGGUUACUACCUGGAAAUAAAUAACUUUCAUGGUUAAGCUGAUUGGUCUCCCCCAUCAUGGGUGUGUUUGGCUUUUCCAUUCACUCUGCAGCAAUGCUCCUUGG